ACUCCUACGGGAGGCAGCAGUGGGAAUCUUGGACAAUGGGGGCAACCCUGAUCCAGCCAUGCCGCGUGAGUGAUGAAGGCCUUAGGGUCGUAAAGCUCUUUCGCCUGUGAAGAUAAUGACGGUAGCAGGUAAAGAAACCCCGGCUAACUCCGUGCCAGCAGCCGCGGUAAUACGGAGGGGUUAGCGUUGUUCGGAAUUACUGGGCGUACAGGGAGCGUAGCGGUUAGGUAAGCCCUUCGUGAAAUCUCCGGGCCUAACCCGGAAAGUGCGGGGGAGGUCUUAUGCUAGAGGAUGGGAGAGGAGCGCGGAAUUCCCGGUGUAGCGGUGAAAUGCGUAGAGAUCGGGAGGAAGGCCGGUGGCGAAGGCGGCGCUCUGGAACAUUUCUGACGCUGAGGCUCGAAAGCGUGGGGAGCAAACAGGAUUAGAUACCCUGGUAGGCUCUGC
Molecule: ribosomal RNA, 444 nt
Filed under: uncultured bacterium
Lineage: Bacteria
Description: bacterial SSU rRNA
Rfam family: Bacterial small subunit ribosomal RNA
Source: RNAcentral